CCUACGUGUGGCAGCAGUGGGGAAUAUUGGGCAAUGGAGGCAACUCUGACCCAGCAACGCCGCGUGAAUGAUGAAGGUCUUCGGAUUGUUAAGUUCUGUGAUGGGGGAUGAACACAAUGACGGUACCCCAAUAGCAAGCCACGGCUAACUACGUGCCAGCAGCCGCGUUAAUACGUAGGUGGCAAGCGUUAUCCGGAAUGACUGGGCGUAAAGGGUGCGUAGGUGGUGUAGUAAGUUGGCGGUGUAAUUCCGGGGCUCAACCGCGGUACUACAGACAAAACUAUUAGACUUGAGUGCAGGAGGGGUAAGUGGAAUUCCUAGGGUAGCGGUGGAAUGCGUAGAUAUUAGGAGGAACAUCAGGGGCGAAGGCGACUUACUGGACUGUAACUGACACUGAGGCACGAAAGCGUGGGGAGCAAACAGGAUUAGAUACCCUUGUAGUC
Molecule: ribosomal RNA, 443 nt
Filed under: uncultured bacterium
Lineage: Bacteria
Description: partial 16S ribosomal RNA
Rfam family: Bacterial small subunit ribosomal RNA
Source: RNAcentral